Molecule: long non-coding RNA, 2057 nt
Filed under: Volvox carteri
Lineage: Eukaryota; Viridiplantae; Chlorophyta; Chlorophyceae; Chlamydomonadales; Volvocaceae
Description: long non-coding RNA (VCAR_LNC003039)
Source: RNAcentral
ACAUACAUUAUUGCAAGCUAGCUGUUGUACACAUAAUGAACAUACGCCUGCUGCUGCGCGUCUGCUGUUGCAUCGUCCUUAUCUACCCAGCAGGCAGUCACUACACACGCACCACACUUUAGAAAAGUGCAGCAGACCUGUGGGCACAAGUGUGUUGAGGCGAUAUUUUAUGUGAGGAUCGAAUCAGCCACAGCGGCGCUGCUCCUGCUUAAGUAGGGUGUCUCCCUUGCCUCACUAAAUUUACGCAGGCUGCACGUACACGUACACCAUCCAGCCUGGUGACACCUUUUGGGCCCUCGCCCAGCGGCGCGGCACCACCGUGGACGUCAUUCAGGCCUUGAACCCGGGCGUUGUCCCCACCAGGCUGCAAGUCGGCCAGGUCAUCAAUGUGCCGUGCUCAGGAGGAGGGUACGUACGCAUGUAUGUAUGUAUGUAUGAAAUUACUGCGUGGGAAAACGAAAUAGGAGCUCAUAGGCUACAUGUGUGUGUGUGUUACAUGGUUGGGGGUGCGUGACCCCAUACCUGUAAGACUACCCAUACGAGCCGAAGGCCCAAGGGCAAUACUACAACGCCUAAAAGCCACGGAGAAAAGGAAAAAAAAAGGCUACAUGUGCUUGUACCGUAACACGCAAGCACCGCCGACCACCUAAUGUUCCAGAAUCUACCGAGUGCAGUUGGUUUAUUAAUGAUAACUGCUAUGAGUGCUGAUAUUAGUGCAUUUCCGGACACGACUUUCGGGCCACCUAUGGCCAAAAGGAAUGAACUUGUGUGGGCGGCCAGAGCGACGUGAAUCCAUUCAUUUUUCCCAAGUCCGAAAACCCCAAUUUAUUUCUUAUUUUAUUGAAUCUGAUUUCUUGUCACUAAGAGCACAGUGCCUCUAAUCAAUCCCAUACGUACCGUGUGUGCCUGCUGGAUCAGAUCAAUGCCGACCUCCACUACUCCAGCUGCCAGAGGUAAGCACAUGCACUUGCUUGCUCGCAGGUGGUGCAGAUAUAUAGACACAUGACUGCCCGUUUAGGAUUUCUUGCGUAGUUGCCUUACUGCUUAGGGGUCGUACAGACGGAGGGGUAGGAAAGUUGUGCUUUUGCUUCCGUGGGAAGGGGCGAGCCUGGUCACAAAAAAUUCGUUUCACUCAGAAAACAUACAGAUUUUAAGAUUUGUGUCAAAGUAAUAUUGUCAGAAAGAGGUGGAAUAGAUAGUAGUGUGGAAGUGGUGACGGCGGAGCCAUCGUCUGUCAUCCCCAGCAGUCCGGAGGCGAUCCAUCGUCAAUGAGAGCGCGGUGCUAUUGCGAACACAGCUGACGAAGGAGCGUUUACAAGGGGAUUACCUGGGCCUAUGGCUAGCUCGUUCUUGGGUGUCAUCCCACUUGCAUUUUGCGUUUGUUGAGUGUUUCAGAGGGAGGAGGUAAUAAAAUAAUCAUCCUUCGCAGCAAUUCUAUUGAAUCUGCAAACCCUGAACCAGCUGCUGAGUAAAUUAAAACAGUUAUGAACUAAUCAACUCGGAAGUCUCCCUCUGAGAAACACCGGACGGUACUUCGUUUAUAGCUGUUGGGUGCGACCGCUGACACCAUCCCAUAAUAUGCAUACUAUGCUAUGCUAGUGAUGAAACAGAGAAAUGGUAACAGAACGCCGUCGCCGAUGGCUUGCUAUCGUAGUAUUGACGGAUAUGUCCAGUACGGCACAUACAUUAUUGCAAGCUAGCUGUUGUACACAUAAUGAACAUACGCCUGCUGCUGCGCGUCUGCUGUUGCAUCCUCCCCAUAUACCCAACAGGCAGUCACUACACACGCACCACACUUUAGGAAAGUGCAGCAGACCUGUGGGCACAAGUGUGUUGAGGCGAUAUUUUAUGUGAGGAUCGAAUGAGCCGCAGCGGCGCUGCACUUGCUUAAGUAGGGUGUUUCCCUUGCCUCACUCAAUUUACACAGGCUGCACGUACACCAUCCAGCCUGGCGACACCUUUUGGGCCCUUGCCCAGGGGCGCGGCACCACCGUGGACGCCAUUCAGGCCUUGAACCCGGGCGUUGUCCCCACCAGGCUGCAAGUUGGCCAGGUCAU